UGGCAAUCCUUUGCUUGGUUUCCUGAC
This 27-nucleotide non-coding RNA is filed under the name Rattus norvegicus (Norway rat). The record is from RNAcentral. Lineage: Eukaryota; Metazoa; Chordata; Mammalia; Rodentia; Muridae.